This 836-nucleotide ribosomal RNA is filed under the name uncultured bacterium. Its description in RNAcentral is "bacterial SSU rRNA". It matches the Rfam family "Bacterial small subunit ribosomal RNA", at positions 627 to 1462 of the family's 1533-position model. The record is from RNAcentral.
UGGAAACUNUCUGACUUGAGUGCAGAAGGGGAGAGUGGAAUUCCAUGUGUAGCGGUGAAAUGCGUAGAUAUAUGGAGGAACACCAGUGGCGAAAGCGGCUCUCUGGUCUGUCACUGACGCUGAGGCUCGAAAGCGUGGGUAGCGAACAGGAUUAGAUACCCUGGUAGUNCACGCCGUAAACGAUGAGUGCUAGGUGUUAGGCCCNUUCCGGGGCUUAGUGCCGGAGCUAACGCAAUAAGCACUCCGCCUGGGGAGUACGACCGCAAGGUUGAAACUCAAAGGAAUUGACGGGGGCCCGCACAAGCGGUGGAGCAUGUGGUUUAAUUCGAAGCAACGCGAAGAACCUUACCAGGUCUUGACAUCCCGAUGCUAUUCUUAGAGAUAGGAAGUUACUUCGGUACAUCGGAGACAGGUGGUGCAUGGUUGUCGUCAGCUCGUGUCGUGAGAUGUUGGGUUAAGUCCCGCAACGAGCGCAACCCUUAUUGUUAGUUGCCAUCAUUAAGUUGGGCACUCUAGCGAGACUGCCGGUAAUAAACCGGAGGAAGGUGGGGAUGACGUCAAAUCAUCAUGCCCCUUAUGACCUGGGCUACACACGUGCUACAAUGGUCGGUACAACGAGUUGCGAGCCGGUGACGGCAAGCUAAUCUCUGAAAGCCGAUCUCAGUUCGGAUUGGAGGCUGCAACUCGCCUCCAUGAAGUCGGAAUCGCUAGUAAUCGCGGAUCAGCACGCCGCGGUGAAUACGUUCCCGGGCCUUGUACACACCGCCCGUCACACCACGAGAGUUUGUAACACCCGAAGUCGGUGAGGUAACCUUUUAGGGGCCAGCCGCCUAAGG